RNAcentral lists this ribosomal RNA (301 nucleotides) under uncultured bacterium. RNAcentral describes it as "partial 16S ribosomal RNA". It matches the Rfam family "Bacterial small subunit ribosomal RNA", at positions 509 to 809 of the family's 1533-position model. The record is from RNAcentral.
CAGCAGCCGCGGUAAUACGGAGGGUGCAAGCGUUAAUCGGAAUUACUGGGCGUAAAGCGCACGCAGGCGGUCUGACAAGUCAGAUGUGAAAUCCCCGGGCUUAACCUGGGAACUGCAUUUGAAACUGUCAGGCUGGAGUCUUGUAGAGGGGGGUAGAAUUCCAGGUGUAGCGGUGAAAUGCGUAGAGAUCUGGAGGAAUACCGGUGGCGAAGGCGGCCCCCUGGACAAAGACUGACGCUUAGGUGCGAAAGCGUGGGGAGCAAACAGGAUUAGAUACCCGUGUAGUCCCUGUCUCUUAUAA